RNAcentral lists this ribosomal RNA (367 nucleotides) under uncultured bacterium. Its description in RNAcentral is "bacterial SSU rRNA". It matches the Rfam family "Bacterial small subunit ribosomal RNA", at positions 438 to 793 of the family's 1533-position model. The record is from RNAcentral.
GUAAGGGAAGAACGUUAUUAGUAGGAAAUAGGCUAAUAAGUGACGGUACCGUUACCACGAAAGGGACGGCUAACUACGUGCCAGCAGCCGCGGUAAUACGUAGGUCCCGAGCGUUAUCCGGAAUUAUUGGGCGUAAAGGGCACGUAGGCGGACAAAUAAGUUUGAUGUCAAAUAAUGAUGGCUCAACCAUCAAGAGGCGUUGAAAACUGUUUAUCUAGAAUCUCGGAGAGGUAAGUGGAAUUCCAUGUGUAGCGGUGGAAUGCGUAGAUAUAUGGAGGAACACCAAUGGCGAAGGCAGCUUACUGGACGAAGAUUGACGCUGAGGUGCGAAAGCGUGGGUAGCAAACAGGAUUAGAUACCCUGGUAG